GGCUUCGUUGCUCAGUUGGCUAGAGCGUUGGCUGUAAUUAUGCCUUCUCCUUGCUGGCGUGAGUUCGAAUCCCACCGAGGCCA
Molecule: transfer RNA, 83 nt
Filed under: Schistocephalus solidus
Lineage: Eukaryota; Metazoa; Platyhelminthes; Cestoda; Diphyllobothriidea; Diphyllobothriidae
Rfam family: tRNA
About the family: Transfer RNA (tRNA) molecules are approximately 80 nucleotides in length. Their secondary structure includes four short double-helical elements and three loops (D, anti-codon, and T loops).
Source: Rfam by way of RNAcentral